This 449-nucleotide long non-coding RNA is filed under the name Lathyrus oleraceus (garden pea). RNAcentral describes it as "Pisum sativum (pea) long non-coding RNA (PSAT_LNC038562)". Lineage: Eukaryota; Viridiplantae; Streptophyta; Magnoliopsida; Fabales; Fabaceae. The record is from RNAcentral.
UCCAUCUGUCUGUGCAAGGAAGCUACCAUAGCAGCGCCAUUCCCAACUGUACAAUCAAGGUUCAUUCAUGGUGAUUUCGAAUUGCAAGAACGAGGAGCAUAAUUGAGCGAAACGGAGCUUCACAUCACUCUUCCUAUAGCCAAUACUGUAGCUGUUUUGCCAAAGCGCGCUCCAAUUCGUCCCGAGUUACAACUGCCAUUACAGGUUGGUGAAAAAUUCGAUCCCAAGCUUUCAAAGAAUUAAGGUGUGCGUGUUGUAGUGCAUAGUAUGUAGGUUAUCGUGCUGCUCUUAGAUUUGAAAAUGAUCAACUGUAGUGUGAGAAAUCUUAACUCGAAGUUAUGAUCCAAAACCCUAAGUUCGACGAUUCUUGAGAUUUAGGAAGUUUUAGGUUAAUUAGAGUUGAGAUUCAUGAUCUACACGUUUGUACGGUUCCAACGACUAUAAGUUUG